RNAcentral lists this long non-coding RNA (706 nucleotides) under Macaca mulatta (Rhesus monkey). Its description in RNAcentral is "lncRNA (ENSMMUG00000057123.1)". The record is from RNAcentral. Lineage: Eukaryota; Metazoa; Chordata; Mammalia; Primates; Cercopithecidae.
CACUCUGCUAAAAUGAUGUCUUAUCUCAAUGACUAUAGUCUUUUAGGGAUGAAGAGAGGUAGGAUUCAGUCAGGUUAAACAAUAAGAACCAAAAUGAUGACCUAUUUCCUAGCUCUCUGCUCACCUGGAUAGUCAUUUGGAUAGUGAUGACUUCAGUCUCACCCCUAGCUCUAAUUUUUCCUUCUCACUCUAUUUGUCAGGGAGUGAAAAGGAGUCUAUUCAAUGUGCAUUGAUUGGAAAGAUAGAAACUAACUCACAAGUCAUGCUACAGGCACCCUUCCAGGGAGAUAGACUUCUCGCCACCCCCAAGAAUAUUAUUACGAGAGUAUAUAAAUCGCAGACAGACAACAGCUGAGCAAACCCAGAGAAUGCUACCCAACAUGAAGAAUUCAGCCUUUCUCAGCCCCAAGUGAGGCAGAAGUUUCAAACGGACUCACUGAACAAUUACUGCAGAAGGUGAGUAUUGGAUCCAUUUUAUUAUAAAUAGGAAUUGCCCUUGAAGAUUCUGAGUGUGACAAGUCAUAGUUUUAUGACAAAAGUGUUGAUCAGUUUGUACAUGGAAUGGAUAGAGUACUCAGGCCAAACAGGAGAUAGCCAGAACCAAAGGUAAAUUAUGCUCUUAGGUAGUUUUGUAUCACAUUCACCUCCUAAAUGUUAUUCAGCUUCUUUGGCAGAGGUUUUAAAAUUAUUUUAUAAUAAAAUGCUC